Molecule: ribosomal RNA, 479 nt
Filed under: Priceiella lindquistae
Lineage: Eukaryota; Metazoa; Arthropoda; Insecta; Psocodea; Philopteridae
Description: partial large subunit ribosomal RNA
Rfam family: Bacterial large subunit ribosomal RNA
Source: RNAcentral
CUCCUCUUGAGUGAAUAAGAGGUAUGAUCUGCUCCAUGCGCGAAAGUAAAUUGCCGCAGUAUCUUGACUGUGCUAAGGUAGCAAAAUAAUUUGGCUUUUAAUUGGAGUCUGGAAUGAAUGAUUUGACAAAGUUUAACCUGUCUCAUUCUUUUUUCUUGAAUUUAGAAUUUCUGUAAAAAUACAGAAAUAAAUGAGAGGGACGAAAAGACCCUAUAGAUCUUUACUCUUCUUGUAAAAUAACUUUAAAUUUAGGCAGGUUGAGUUUUCUUGGGGUAAGACUAAAAAUUGAAUUUUGGCUAAAGAAAAAGAUUGAUUAGUCGAAAAGAUGAAGAAAAAUAAGAUAAGUUACCUUAGGGAUAACAGGAUAAUUUCUUUAUUUAGAACUUAUAAAGAAAGAAGUUUAUCACCUCGAUGUUGAAUUAAGUUUUCUUCUAUUCGUAGAAGGAUGUGAAGUUAGUCUGUUCGACUAUUAAAAACUU